Pipistrellus kuhlii (Kuhl's pipistrelle) is the source of this 105-nucleotide small nuclear RNA. NCBI's taxonomy places the organism in Eukaryota, Metazoa, Chordata, Mammalia, Chiroptera, Vespertilionidae. The record is from RefSeq and is a predicted model, not a curated record.
GUGCUGGCUUUGGCAGCACAUACACUAAAAUUGGAAGGAGACAGAAAAUUAGCAUGGCCCCUGUGAAAGGAUGACAAGUAAAUUCAUAAAGUUUUUUGUUUGUUU